AGUUUUCUGAGGUGUUCGUUAUAUAUACACUGUGUUGACCGAACAUUUUUCUAUAUAUAAUCGGGAUCCAGACAUUCGUAACUAUGACAGGCCUUUUCACUUGGAAGUCAGACAUUGUGAAUGAGGAGCCCACCUGCUUAAACAUGCGGGUUCAAAACAACUAUAUAAGCAAACGGCACUAUCGGAUACUUA
This 192-nucleotide non-coding RNA is filed under the name Aerococcaceae bacterium. Its description in RNAcentral is "6S RNA". It matches the Rfam family "6S / SsrS RNA". Rfam says of the family: E. coli 6S RNA was the first non coding RNA to be sequenced, but its function was unknown until recently. It consists of 184 nucleotides that fold into an extended hairpin structure with a large single-stranded internal bulge. The record is from RNAcentral. Lineage: Bacteria; Bacillati; Bacillota; Bacilli; Lactobacillales; Aerococcaceae. RNAcentral also lists the same sequence under 1 other name.